UGGUGUUUGGUUUGUUACGUGUGGUUGGCUGCGGCGUUUGCAACAACUUCCAUGCUUUCAGACCUCUUCAGUUGUGCGGCAAGGCUUGUAUCGCCCUGAGCGUACUGUGGGUUUUCUGUGUUGGCUACUUAAUCAACGGUAUCGGUUGGAUUGAUUAAAGUUUGAUUUCGUCUUCCGUCGCAUUCGCGGCGUGAGGUGAACCUCGAUGCGGUCUCUUUGAUCCACCUCGUUGAAGCACAUGCCUUGACGUUGUGGCACAUUGAGCAUUGCUUGGUCUCUUGUAUACGGAACAUAUAGUGGGCAUGGAUCUAACGAUCCUUGUUUGCCCUCAUAUUAGCGUAACGCUUCUCUAACACGACUUGCGCCAUGUUUUAGCUCGUACGGACGUGGCGCUAUGUCGA
RNAcentral lists this unclassified non-coding RNA (401 nucleotides) under Artemisia absinthium. RNAcentral's name for it is "partial external transcribed spacer". The record is from RNAcentral. Lineage: Eukaryota; Viridiplantae; Streptophyta; Magnoliopsida; Asterales; Asteraceae.